This 617-nucleotide ribosomal RNA is filed under the name Phallobata alba. RNAcentral describes it as "eukaryotic LSU rRNA". It matches the Rfam family "Eukaryotic large subunit ribosomal RNA", at positions 73 to 658 of the family's 3401-position model. Lineage: Eukaryota; Fungi; Basidiomycota; Agaricomycetes; Hysterangiales; Hysterangiaceae. The record is from RNAcentral.
GAUUCCCCUAGUAACGGCGAGUGAAGCGGGAAGAGCUCAAAUUUGUAAUCUGGCAGUCUUCGGCUGUCCGAGUUGUAGUCUGGAGAAGCGUCUUCCGUGUUGGACCGUGUACAAGUCCCCUGGAACGGGGCGUCGUAGAGGGUGAGAAUCCCGUCUCUGACACGGACUGCCGAUACUAUGUGAUGCGCUCUCGAAGAGUCGAGUUGUUUGGGAAUGCAGCUCAAAAUGGGUGGUAAAUUCCAUCUAAAGCUAAAUAUUGGCGAAAGACCGAUAGCGAACAAGUACCGUGAGGGAAAGAUGAAAAGCACUUUGGAAAGAGAGUUAAACAGUACGUGAAAUUGUUGAAAGGGAAACGCUUGAAGUCAGUCGCGUCUUCCGGGACUCAGUCCGGGCUCUUCUGCCCGACGCACUCUUCCCGGUGUGAUGGGCCAGUGUCGAUUUCGACCGUCGGAGAAAGGCUCUGGGAAUGUGGCACCUCCGGGUGUGUUUAUAGCCCUGGGUCGUAUACGACGGUCGGGAUCGAGGAUCGCAGCAUGCCCCCCUCACAAGGGGCCGGGGUUCGCCCACGUAACGUGCUUAGGAUGCUGGCGUAAUGGCUUUAAGCGACCCGUCUUGAA